Molecule: long non-coding RNA, 890 nt
Filed under: Mustela putorius furo (domestic ferret)
Lineage: Eukaryota; Metazoa; Chordata; Mammalia; Carnivora; Mustelidae
Description: lncRNA (ENSMPUG00000025406.1)
Source: RNAcentral
UCCAAAAAUUCACAUUUGCUGGUUUAAAUUGAUGUGACUUUAUUUUUUUGGCUAGCACUCUGCAGUGUUCCACUGAGCGGUAAUUAUUCCUUUGGUGUUGCAGGAGUUUGCUGAGAGAAGGGAACUAAAUCUAAAAGAGUGAAUCCAUCUGGUGCAUAUGUUGAAGAUUUCUCUGAGGCCACUGACACUGAAAUGUUAAUGCUAGAAUUUCUUAUCUAUUGGUAUCAUUUAGGUAUUGAUAAAAUGUGAUUUAAUGCCCUAGGUCAUUGAAUCAAAGGCUGAAUUCCAUUCCUUUACAUGGCACUGGAUGCCCCACACGAUGGAGGACCUUUCUGGCAGAGCACAAUGAUUUUAUCCUUGCCCUUCUGGCAAAUGGACUUGAAUUGCUCCUGCUUCUGGCAGCUGGCAGCUGGAAGCUGGUUUUACUUCAAGGUCCUUGGGAAGGCCAGACAAGUGCCAUUACACAAAUCACUGGUGACGGCUGUCAGCCCGCUGGCCCUCUCUCCACACUUAUCUCUACCCCUGCCUCCCAUCCCUUUCCACAGAGGCUUGCAGGUGGCAUUUUUCUUCCAGGACAACAGACUUGUGGGUGAAAAUUAUGUCUAAAGGUACAAAUCAGCAAACUCUGGUGACGUAUAAGUAGGGUAGCGUUUGACCUAUGCAAUAAAUAGCACUCUAUCAUUUGUAUAUUACCCACAGUGUAUCUAAUUAAAAGUUCUUAAUCACGGCACGCCUGGGUGGCUCAGUGGGUUGAAACCUAUGCCUUUGGUUCAGGUCAUGAUCCCGGGGUCCUGGGCUCGAGCCCCGCAUUGGGCUCUGCUCAGCAGGGAGCCUGCUUCCUCCUCUCUCUCUCUGACUGCCUCUCUGCCUGCUUGUGAUCUCUGUCUGUC